Molecule: RNA transcript, 1677 nt
Organism: Zea mays
Lineage: Eukaryota; Viridiplantae; Streptophyta; Magnoliopsida; Poales; Poaceae
Exons: 3
Source: RefSeq, a predicted model, not a curated record
UCAACCAGGAAAGCUGGAGAACAUGGCCAAAGGUGUAUUGUAUGGCAUAAUUGAGGAUCUAUGCACAUUCAUAUUGAAAGAGGUCAUUCCCAUUGAAGGAAAAUAUCAUGAUGCUACUAGUACAUUAGCUAGAUCAGUGUUUUGAGUACUCACAGAAAUUGGUGCACGGUUCUGCCUUUCUGCCUUUCUCCACGUGCUGGGCUUGCAUCCAUGGCCACGAAUCUCGCCCACAAAGCUUCCAUCCAUGGCAGCCGUGACCCGGUCCCCCAGCCACGCUGCCUUCCAUCCAUGGCUGCCCACGCGCCCGGCUCCCCAUUUUCUUGCACGACGUGAGAUGGAGAUUCUGCAUUACCCACAAAUCACAUCCAUGGCCGCGAAUCGUCGGUCUGCCAAAUCCGCCGCGAAUCUCGCCCACAAAGCUUCCAUCCAUGGCUGCCACGACCAAUCCAUGGCAGCCACGCCCCGGUCCCCCGACCGCACCGGCUUCCAUCCAUGGUUGCCCGCGCGCCUGGCUCCCCCUUCCCUUGCACGAUCCGCUCCUGGAGCGUGGACAUGAGCGUCGCCCACUGCGCCUGCUUCGGCGGCGCGACGGGGGCUGGUGGCCACGGACGCCAGGUCCUGGCAUGGCACCGCGCCGACCACCGUCCACGUGGCGAAGACGAGGAUGGAGCUCAUGGUGUACAACGCCAGUCCGAGCCCACACCCCGCGCCCAUGCCCGAACUCCCCACCGUGCUUGAGCGAGGUGGUGGCAACGACGUUGAGGGAGAUGGCGACAAGCAAUCCUAGCAGGGGCAUGGCGCAGAGAUUCAACCGCCUCGGUCAGUGGAGACGGCACCAACCCGCCGUGUGCUCUCAGGUCUGAGAUCCCUGCUUUUAGAUCCCCUUUUUCCUCCCUUUGCUCCCGAAGUGCGUCCCCUUCUUCCCCCCUUUGUGCUCCCUUUGUUCUCGCUUUGUUUGUUUCUACUACUUUGGUGGUUGUGACCGAAGCGCUUCUCUUGGGAGAACACGUAGAGCUAUUAUUAGCUUGAGGAAGGAGUAGCCUUUUGUCUGUACUUGUUCUGCUGGGAACUUGGGCGACAACAAUGAAGCUAAGCAGACCAAUAUUCUUUCUGGGCACUUUGAUUUUGCUGGUUUGUGUAAUAGGUCAAUACAUCUCAUCAAAGAAAGAAGGAAUUCGGAUAUUGCACCUAUAGGUUCACUGCAAUUAGGUGUUUGUAGGCACCGAGCUGACCUAAUGAAGUAUUUGUGUGACCGGGCGGAUCCUCCAAUUCCUUGUGAGCUUGUGAGGGGCCAUCUUGACUAUACACCUCAUGCUUGGAACAUUGUUCCUGUUAAAAAGAGGAAUGGCUGGGUAAGGAUGAUUGUUGAUGCUUGUUACCCCACCAACAUAAAGGAAGAAACAGAUCCAGAGUACUUUUGCAGGCAUCCACAGAGGAAAUUGGUGCACGGUUCUGCCUUUCUGCCUUUCUCCACGCGCUGGGCUUGCAUCCAUGGCCGCGAAUCUCCGCCGUGAAUCUCGCCCACAAAGCUUCCAUCCAUGGCUGCCGCGACCAAUCCAUGGCAGCCGCGCCUCGGUCCCCGUACCUUGGGCAAAUGUGUUUCUAUGUUUCCUGAGUUGUGUUGGCUAGCCCAUGAUAUAAAGUGAUCAUUGCCUAUCUAUUACUUAGAUUGAUUAA